GACGAACGCUGGCGGCGUGCUUAACACAUGCAAGUCGAACGAUGAAGCCAGCUUGCUGGUGGAUUAGUGGCGAACGGGUGAGUAACACGUCGGUGAUCUGCCCCAAACUUUGGGAUAAGCCUGGGAAACUGGGUCUAAUACCGAAUAUGACCGAUACUCGCAUGGGUGUUGGUGGAAAGCUCCGGCGGUUUGGGAUGGGCCCGCGGCCUAUCAGCUUGUUGGUGGGGUAAUGGCCUACCAAGGCGACGACGGGUAGCCGGCCUGAGAGGGCGACCGGCCACACUGGGACUGAGACACGGCCCAGACUCCUACGGGAGGCAGCAGUGGGGAAUAUUGCACAAUGGGCGCAAGCCUGAUGCAGCGACGCCGCGUGAGGGAUGACGGCCUUCGGGUUGUAAACCUCUUUCACCAGGGACGAAGCGAAAGUGACGGUACCUGGAGAAGAAGCACCGGCCAACUACGUG
Molecule: ribosomal RNA, 464 nt
Filed under: uncultured bacterium
Lineage: Bacteria
Description: partial 16S ribosomal RNA
Rfam family: Bacterial small subunit ribosomal RNA
Source: RNAcentral